RNAcentral lists this ribosomal RNA (253 nucleotides) under uncultured bacterium. Its description in RNAcentral is "partial 16S ribosomal RNA". It matches the Rfam family "Bacterial small subunit ribosomal RNA", at positions 524 to 776 of the family's 1533-position model. The record is from RNAcentral.
UACAGAGGGUGCAAGCGUUGUUCGGAAUUAUUGGGCGUAAAGCGCGUGUAGGCGGCUUUGCAAGUCGGGUGUGAAAGCCCUCAGCUUAACUGAGGAAGUGCGCCCGAAACUGCAGAGCUUGAGUACCGGAGAGGAUGGCGGAAUUCCCCAAGUAGAGGUGAAAUUCGUAGAUAUGGGGAGGAACACCGGUGGCGAAGGCGGCCAUCUGGACGGAUACUGACGCUGAGGAGCGAAAGCUAGGGGAGCAAACAGG